This 1358-nucleotide ribosomal RNA is filed under the name wastewater metagenome. RNAcentral's name for it is "bacterial LSU rRNA". It matches the Rfam family "Bacterial large subunit ribosomal RNA", at positions 695 to 2067 of the family's 2925-position model. The record is from RNAcentral.
AUUAGUUAGUUGACGUAGACCCGAAGCCGGGCGACCUAUCCAUGGGCAGGUUGAAGCGAAAGUAAAAUUUCGUGGAGGACCGAACCCACGAGCGUUGAAAAGCUCGGGGAUGACCUGUGGAUAGCGGUGAAAUUCCAAUCGAGCCCGGAGAUAGCUGGUUCUCUCCGAAAUAGCUUUAGGGCUAGCCUCAAGAUUUAGAGAAACGGGGGUAGAGCACUGAAUGUCCUAGGGGGUAUUGCACUUACCGAAGACUAUCAAACUCCGAAUACCGUAUUCUUAUGCUUGGGAGUCAGACUAUGGGUGAUAAGAUUCAUAGUCAAAAGGGCAACAGCCCAGAUCGUCAGCUAAGGUCCCUAAAUGUACGUUAAGUGGUAAAGGAUGUGGGAUUGCACAGACAACCAGGAUGUUGGCUUAGAAGCAGCCACUCAUUUAAAGAGUGCGUAAUAGCUCACUGGUCGAGUGAUCCUGCGCCGAAAAUUUCCGGGGCUAAAACGUACUACCGAAGCUACGGCAUCAUUUAUGAUGGGUAGGAGAGCUUUCUAUACGGGUUGAAGCAUUACCGUAAGGAGAUGUGGACUGUAUAGAAGUGAGAAUGUUGGCAUGAGUAGCGAGAUGCGGGUGAGAAUCCCGCAGGCCGUAAACCCAAGGUUUCCAGGGGAAGGUUCGUCCGCCCUGGGUUAGUCAGGACCUAAGCCGAGGCCGAAAGGCGUAGGUGAUGGACAACAGGUUGAUAUUCCUGUACCACCAAUAACCGUUUGAGAAAUGGGAUGACACAGAAGGAUAAGCUAACCGCACUGUUGGUUAUGUGCGGGCAAGUAUUGAGGCAGUUUGGAUAGGCAAAUCCGUCCAAAUAAUGCUGGGGUACGAUGCGGAGCGAAAUUUAGUAGCGAAGUAGCUGAUUUCACACUGUCGAGAAAAGUCUCUAUCGAGGUUAAAGGUGCCUGUACCGCAAACCGACACAGGUGGGUGAGGAGAGUAUCCUAAGGCCAGCCAGAGAACUGUUGUUAAGGAACUCGGCAAAAUGACCCCGUAACUUAGGGAGAAGGGGUGCCUGUCUAUGACAGGCCGCAGAGAAUAGGCCCAAGCGACUGUUUACCAAAAACACAGGUUUCUGCUAAGUCGCAAGACGAUGUAUAGGAGCUGACGCCUGCCCGGUGCUGGAAGGUUAAGAGGGGGACUUAGGGUCAAACCAAAGGUCUGAAUCGAAGCCCCAGUAAACGGCGGCCGUAACUAUAACGGUCCUAAGGUAGCGAAAUUCCUUGUCGGGUAAGUUCCGACCCGCACGAAAGGCGUAACGAUUUGGGCACUGUCUCAACAACAGACUGGGUGAAAUUGUAAUACCGGUGAAGAUGCCGGUU